RNAcentral lists this small nuclear RNA (187 nucleotides) under Dermacentor silvarum. RNAcentral's name for it is "U2 spliceosomal RNA". It matches the Rfam family "U2 spliceosomal RNA". Rfam says of the family: U2 is a small nuclear RNA (snRNA) component of the spliceosome (involved in pre-mRNA splicing). Lineage: Eukaryota; Metazoa; Arthropoda; Arachnida; Ixodida; Ixodidae. The record is from RNAcentral.
ACAUGGCCGACGCCGGUCAAAGUGUAACGUACCUGUUCUUAUCAGCUUAAUAUCUCAUACGGAUUGUAUUUUGACCCAAGAUAUUAAACACAUUUUUGCAAGUAGGCAGAGUGCUUGAAGCCUGCUUCACCUCCGCCACGGGUCGGCCCGGUAUUGCACUAUAUUCGGGAUUUUUGGUCUACGGACA